GAUGAACGCUGGCGGCGUGCCUAAUACAUGCAAGUCGAGCGAACAGACGAGGAGCUUGCUCCUCUGACGAUAGCGGUGGACGGGUGAGUAACACGUGGAUAACCUACCUAUAAGACUGGGAUAACUUCGGGAAACCGGAGCUAAUACCGGAUAACAUGUUGAACCGCAUGGUUCAACAGUGAAAGACGGUCUUGCUGUCACUUAUCGAUGGAUCCGCGCCGCAGUAGCUAGUUGGUAAGGUAACGGCUUACCAAAGCAACGAGGCGCAGCCGACAUGACAGGGAGGUCGGCCACACUGGAACUGAGACACGAUCCAGACUCGUACGGGAAGCAGCAGAAGGGAAUCUUCCGCAAUGGGCGAAAGCCUGACGGAGCAACGCCGCGUGAAUGAAGAAGGCCUUCUGAUCGUAAAACCCUGUUAUUAGGGAAGAACAAAUGUGUAAGUAACUAUGCACGUCUUGACGGUACCUAAUCAGAAAGCCACGGCUAACUACGUGCCAGCAGCCGCCGUAA
RNAcentral lists this ribosomal RNA (513 nucleotides) under uncultured bacterium. RNAcentral describes it as "partial 16S ribosomal RNA". It matches the Rfam family "Bacterial small subunit ribosomal RNA", at positions 28 to 523 of the family's 1533-position model. The record is from RNAcentral.